GACAAACGCUGGCGGCGUGUAUUAGGCAUGCAAGUCGUACGCACACUUCGGUGUGAGUGGCGGACGGGUGAGUAACACGUGGGUAACCUGCCCUGGAGUGGGGAAUAACUCGCCGAAAGGCGAGCUAAUACCGCAUACCACCCCCGGUGAGAAUCCGGGCGGUAAAAGCAGUAAUGCGCUCUAGGAGGGGCCUGCGGCCGAUUAGCUUGUUGGUGGGGUAAUGGCUCACCAAGGCGACGAUCGGUAGCUGGUCUGAGAGGAUGGUCAGCCACACGGGGACUGAGAUACGGCCCCGACUCCUACGGGAGGCAGCAGCUAAGAAUCUUGCGCAAUGGGCGAAAGCCUGACGCAGCAACGCCGCGUGGGGGACGAAGGUUUUCGGAUCGUAAACUCCUUUUGCGAGGGAAGAAGUUCUGACGGUACCUCGCGAAUAAGACACGGCUAACUACGUG
RNAcentral lists this ribosomal RNA (452 nucleotides) under uncultured organism. RNAcentral describes it as "bacterial SSU rRNA". It matches the Rfam family "Bacterial small subunit ribosomal RNA", at positions 28 to 507 of the family's 1533-position model. The record is from RNAcentral.